Drosophila guanche is the source of this 516-nucleotide long non-coding RNA. RefSeq lists it as uncharacterized. The record is from RefSeq and is a predicted model, not a curated record. The transcript is spliced from 3 exons. Lineage: Eukaryota; Metazoa; Arthropoda; Insecta; Diptera; Drosophilidae.
AUAUUUUUAAAUAGGUUUAGGUUUUGGUAUGUAUGCCUGCGAGGUUUACAGUUAACCACUAUGCAAAAAACCUGUUUGUUAGCGCAAUCUUUUGUUUUGACCAGCGGAUUUCUUUAAUAUGUUUCCAUUUCGAGAUGUAUUUAAUGAUUUUGUGGCAAGCUUGAAACUUGUGGUGGCGCUGUUGCCACUAUUGAGUUGACUGGCACUUGUACGAGGUAACCGCGGAUUUGUAUUCCCAUUUCCUGACAAGGGGCGCGCCGCACUACCAGCAUUAUUGCUCACGGCAAGUGCUCCCGGUAACAUAUCAUGGUGCAUGAUGAUUCCGAUGCACAGUAGCAUUAAUGUAAGCACCGCCCGGCUAAUGAAUUUCCCCCUCCUUGUAUAAUCCAGAAAGGCUACCAUGACUGCGAACCGUAUCAUCUCUACACUUUUAUAUAUAUUUGACACGACCGAGACGUUUUUACCUGAAAUUAUUUAUAAAUUUAAAAUGUUGCGACUGGUUCAGAUUACAAAAAU